Molecule: ribosomal RNA, 556 nt
Filed under: uncultured bacterium
Lineage: Bacteria
Description: bacterial SSU rRNA
Rfam family: Bacterial small subunit ribosomal RNA
Source: RNAcentral
UCCUACGGGAGGCAGCAGUGGGGAAUAUUGCACAAUGGGCGCAAGCCUGAUGCAGCAACGCCGCGUGAGGGACGACGGCCUUCGGGUUGUAAACCUCUUUUAGCAGGGAAGAAGCGAAAGUGACGGUACCUGCAGAAAAAGCACCGGCUAACUACGUGCCAGCAGCCGCGGUAAUACGUAGGGUGCAAGCGUUGUCCGGAAUUAUUGGGCGUAAAGAGCUCGUAAGCGGUUUGUCGCGUCUGCUGUGAAAAUCCGAGGCUCAACCUCGGACCUGCAGUGGGUACGGGCAAACUAGAGUGCGGUAGGGGAGAUUGGAAUUCCUGGUGUAGCGGUGGAAUGCGCAGAUAUCAGGAGGAACACCAAUGGCGAAGGCAGAUCUCUGGGCCGUAACUGACGCUGAGGAGCGAAAGCGUGGGGAGCGAACAGGAUUAGAUACCCUGGUAGUCCACGCCGUAAACGGUGCGAACUAGAUGUGGGGUCCGUUCCACGGAUUCCGUGUCGCAGCUAACGCAUUAAGUUCCCCGCCUGGGGAGUACGGCCGCAAGGCUAAAACUCA